This 662-nucleotide ribosomal RNA is filed under the name uncultured bacterium. Its description in RNAcentral is "bacterial SSU rRNA". It matches the Rfam family "Bacterial small subunit ribosomal RNA", at positions 8 to 694 of the family's 1533-position model. The record is from RNAcentral.
AGAGUUUGAUCCUGGCUCAGGACGAACGCUGGCGGUGUGCUUCACACAUGCAAGUCGAACGAGGUAGCAAUACCUAGUGGCGGACGGGUGAGUAACACGUGGGAAUCUUCCUUUGGGUGGGGGAUAGCAGGCCGAAAGGCCUAUUAAUACCGACUAUAUGUGCAUAUUUCGACAGAGGUAUGCAUGAAAGCAGUAAUGCGCCCGAAGAUGAGCCCGCGCCCGAUUAGCUAGUUGGUAGUGUAACGGACUACCAAGGCUACGAUCGGUAGGUGGUCUGAGAGGAUGAUCACCCACAAUGGGACUGAGACACGGCCCAUACUCCUACGGGAGGCAGCAGUGGGGAAUUUUACGCAAUGGGGGAAACCCUGACGUAGCGACACCGCGUGAGCGAUGAAGCCCCUUGGGGUGUAAAGCUCUGUCGGCUGGGACGAAAAAAAUGACGGUACCAGCAAAGGAAGCAUCGGCUAACUACGUGCCAGCAGCCGCGGUAAGACGUAGGAUGCAAGCGUUGUCCGGAUUCAUUGGGCGUAAAGCGUUCGUAGGUGGUUUGUUAAGUCUGAUGUUAAAGACCGGAGCUCAACUUCGGAACUGCAUUGGAUACUGGCAGACUAGAGUAUGGUAGAGGCAAGCGGAAUUCCCAGUGUAGCGGUGAAAUGCGUAGA